Molecule: ribosomal RNA, 497 nt
Filed under: uncultured bacterium
Lineage: Bacteria
Description: partial 16S ribosomal RNA
Rfam family: Bacterial small subunit ribosomal RNA
Source: RNAcentral
GACGAACGCUGGCGGCGUGCCUAAUACAUGCAAGUUGAGCGAUGAAGAUUGGUGCUUGCACCAAUUUGAAGAGCAGCGAACGGGUGAGUAACGCGUGGGGAAUCUGCCUUUGAGCGGGGGACAACAUUUGGAAACGAAUGCUAAUACCGCAUAACAACUUUAAACAUAAGUUUUAAGUUUGAAAGAUGCAAUUGCAUCACUCAAAGAUGAUCCCGCGUUGUAUUAGCUAGUUGGUGAGGUAAAGGCUCACCAAGGCGAUGAUACAUAGCCGACCUGAGAGGGUGAUCGGCCACAAUGGGACUGGGAAACGGCCCAAACUCCUACGGGAGGCAGCAGUAGGGAAUCUUCGGCAAUGGACGAAAGUCUGACCGAGCAACGCCGCGUGAGUGAAGAAGGUUUUCGGAUCGUAAAACUCUGUUGGUAGAGAAGAACGUUGGUGAGAGUGGAAAGCUCAUCAAGUGACGGUAACUACCCAGAAAGGGACGGCUAACUACGUG